AACGUAGGACGCAAGCGUUAUCCGGAGUUACUGGGCGUAAAGCGCGGGCAGGCGGCUCGAAACGUCUGAUGUGAAAUCUCCUCGUUCAACGGGGAGAGGCCAUUGGAAACGGUCGAGCUGGAGGGCAGUAGAGGUAGGCGGAAUUCCGGGUGGAGUGGUGAAAUGCGUAGAGAUCCGGAGGAACACCAGAGGCGAAAGCGGCGCUCUGGGCUGCACCUGACGCUGAACUGCGAAAGCCAGGGGAGCGAACGGG
This 253-nucleotide ribosomal RNA is filed under the name uncultured bacterium. RNAcentral describes it as "partial 16S ribosomal RNA". It matches the Rfam family "Bacterial small subunit ribosomal RNA", at positions 524 to 776 of the family's 1533-position model. The record is from RNAcentral.